Molecule: long non-coding RNA, 839 nt
Filed under: Homo sapiens (human)
Lineage: Eukaryota; Metazoa; Chordata; Mammalia; Primates; Hominidae
Description: HSALNT0136500
Source: RNAcentral
CCCCACAUACUCCAGGCUAAUGUGAGUGUCCACAGGCCCCUAACCCCCUCCUCAGCUUGGUGUCACUGGGGCUCUGAAAUCCAGAGGUCAGACUCCACUCAGGAGGUCUUGGUGGUUUUCCUGGAAGGUUUGUCUUCUCCUGAGGAAGUGGAUGCCAUGUGUCACUUUGCAGAUGGAUCAAGUGCAGGAGGUGCCUGUUGGAGACGCAGAGCUCUGCAGCAGCAGACACCGCUUCCUGGAGCUGUUCUGUGCAGAAGUUGAGUGAAGAUACUGCAGCGAGCCCUGGGUCUGAACGCCUGUGUGCUGACUCUAGACCUGCUCCUCAGCCCCAGUUUUCUCUGAAAAACCAGGAUUCUAGCACAACUCGUACCCCCAUUCUUUUCAGUCCUGCACCCACCAGCGAGCCGCAAGGCCCAGGAGCUACUGGCCCUGUUUUCCUGUCUCCAGUACUGGCCUUUGAUUUAUGAGAUGUCCCCUGUCUCCCCUGCUUCUGACCUCCCAGGAUGGCAUUUGGUGAUUUCUUGAUGUUCUCUUGCUUUGGCAUUAAAAUAUGGAUGGGAGUGUCAUUUCCAGAUCUUUUCCAGACCUGUGCAAUUCUUUCCAUUCUUCAUAACAGCCCAUGACCCACCUUCCUCUGUUUCAGCCACAAAGCUAGCCAUGCCUGUGUGCGCACUGCUGUUUCUCAUUGUUAAUAUUUUAACUGUUAUUAAAAAAAAAACUUUCUUUUAAACUGUGUGUGUAUGGUUUUAAAAAUUGACGCACUUCCAGAGCUCUCAACUUCUGCAGUCUUUCUGAGGUCCGUGUUCCUCUUCUUCAGCUGGGAAGCAAAUGCUUGACUU